Molecule: ribosomal RNA, 392 nt
Filed under: uncultured bacterium
Lineage: Bacteria
Description: partial 16S ribosomal RNA
Rfam family: Bacterial small subunit ribosomal RNA
Source: RNAcentral
AUACGUAGGGGACGAGCGUUGUCCGGAUUUAUUGGGUUUAAAGGGUGCGCAGGCGGCCAUUUAAGUCAGCGGUUAAAUCGUGGGGCUCAACCCCAUUCUGCCGUUGAUACUGGGUGGCUUGAUUGCGGUCGAGGUUGGCGGAAUUCGUUGUGUAGCGGUGAAAUGCAUAGAUAUGACGAAGAACACCGAUUGCGUAGGCAGCUGACCAGACCGCAAAUGACGCUCAUGCACGAAAGUGCGGGGAUCGAACAGGAUUAGAUACCCUGGUAGUCCGCACAGUAAACGAUGAAUACUUGUUUUCGGCGAUAUAAUGUCGGAGGCAAAGCGAAAGCGAUAAGUAUUCCACCUGGGGAGUACGCCGGCAACGGUGAAACUCAAAGGAAUUGACGGGG